UUUAAGUCCCAACUGAAUGUUCUUUUCCGCCUGUUCUAAGUUGAAGCAUUCUCUUUCGAAGCAUUGUUGCGAACGCAUUUUUGAAGAAUCCGAAAUGCGCAGCAAAAAUAUAUUAUAUUACUGAAAAUUAUUUUCUUGUGUCUUGUGGUGGGCUGUUGCGCUACCUUCUUCCCAGGAAAAGUCACCGAGCCUGAAUUAAUAUCUAAUCUAAUAGGCUCAGUUUUAGACUUUGUGGGCCCAACACCUAUUGGCAAUAUUAGCAAGAAAAGGGAUCCUAUAAUAAAAAAAAAUAAGCAUAAUGGUAAGAAGAAAUUACGGAAACUACUGAAGAAAUAUAGAAAAUCGCAUGGCUAGGCGAGAGUGUAAAACUGCUAUAUCUAUUUAAUCUGAUAGACCAAGCAGCACAGCAAAGAAAUUCACAGCUCUAAAUACACGUCGUGCUACUAAUAUCGCAUAUAAAGAAAAGUGUACGAAAAAAAUGCAAA
Molecule: RNA transcript, 485 nt
Organism: Anastrepha ludens (Mexican fruit fly)
Lineage: Eukaryota; Metazoa; Arthropoda; Insecta; Diptera; Tephritidae
Exons: 2
Source: RefSeq, a predicted model, not a curated record